RNAcentral lists this ribosomal RNA (762 nucleotides) under uncultured bacterium. Its description in RNAcentral is "bacterial SSU rRNA". It matches the Rfam family "Bacterial small subunit ribosomal RNA", at positions 60 to 840 of the family's 1533-position model. The record is from RNAcentral.
AGUCGAGCGAUGAACCCUUCGGGGUGGAUUAGCGGCGGACGGGUGAGUAACACGUGGGUAACCUGCCUCAAAGAGGGGAAUAGCCUCCCGAAAGGGAGAUUAAUACCGCAUAAUAUGUUUUAAUCGCAUGAUUGAAACAUCAAAGGAGUAAUCCGCUUUGAGAUGGACCCGCGGCGCAUUAGCUAGUUGGUGAGGUAACGGCUCACCAAGGCGACGAUGCGUAGCCGACCUGAGAGGGUGAUCGGCCACAUUGGAACUGAGACACGGUCCAGACUCCUACGGGAGGUAGCAGUGGGGAAUAUUGCGCAAUGGGGGAAACCCUGACGCAGCAACGCCGCGUGAAUGAUGAAGGCCUUCGGGUUGUAAAGUUCUGUCUUCUGGGACGAUAAUGACGGUACCAGAGGAGGAAGCCACGGCUAACUACGUGCCAGCAGCCGCGGUAAUACGUAGGUGGCAAGCGUUGUCCGGAUUUACUGGGCGUAAAGGAUGCGUAGGCGGACAUUUAAGUCAGAUGUGAAAUACCCGAGCUUAACUUGGGUGCUGCAUUUGAAACUGGGUGUCUAGAGUGCAGGAGAGGUAAGUGGAAUUCCUAGUGUAGCGGUGAAAUGCGUAGAGAUUAGGAAGAACACCAGUGGCGAAGGCGACUUACUGGACUGUGACUGACGCUGAGGCAUGAGAGCGUGGGGAGCAUACAGGAUUAUAUACCCUGUUAGUCUACGCCGUAAAACGAUGAAUACUAGGUGUCGGGAGGUCGAAACCUCU